Struthio camelus australis is the source of this 1994-nucleotide long non-coding RNA. NCBI's taxonomy places the organism in Eukaryota, Metazoa, Chordata, Aves, Struthioniformes, Struthionidae. The record is from Ensembl.
CAACAGUCUCCUCUUGAAUGAGCUGGAGCAGGAGGGCAGAUGGUUAAAUACUACUUUCAUUACUGAAAAAUUAGAUUAGCAAGGCUAAGAGUCUCCUGGUAACUGAUACCUGGGCUGUGUUUGCCAAGCGGUGAUAACAUGGUCAUAUCAGCCUGCAAAGCUACCAGACAAAGCCACGGGAAGUAGCAGCACUCGUUACCGCCUGCAAGUAAUGCCGGAGUACGGCAGUAUCUAGAGAAGCCACUGCAGCUUCUGCUGUCACUGCAAUGAAGAAGCUGAUGCCCACCUUCACUGUUGCUGAAAGAAGAAUUUUGGGAAGAGCAGUAUGGGACGUAUUAGUUGAGCAAGCCCUCUUCCACUCCUCUUCCCUGGCAGAAGUCACCCAGCCUCAAGGAAUGCUUUCCACGUCGUGUGUAACAAGUUAUUCCCUUCAGCAAGCCAAAAAGACGUCAGCCCAAAGCAUGACAGGACUCAAGUUGUGCCAGCUACAGCAAGGGGCAGCAUGGAGGCCGUACCUAGUGAAAAGGGAGACCUGCUAAUGACAGAAAUGGGCUUGUUUCUCAUCUACAUGUUCCUCCGCAUUGCUCAAAAUCACUCUUGGGUACAAAACUUCCUCAUUGUAUGGCUUAGAGACUCAAGGAAAGGCCAGCAAAUGAUGCCGCCUGGUGUGUUCCUUGUCAUGUUUAUUAUGGACCUGUCUGUCUGCAAUGAAAAUCUGAUGCCUGAGACUCACUCACCUGAGAUACUCCCUUGCAGGGGAUGCAGGGGAAAAUCUAUGGCUUGCUCCUCUGUCAGGACGAAUAGUGGUAUGGAUGAAGAAGUCUUGGGUGCCGUGGGAUACUCUGAGAGAACUGGCUCACUGUCAAUCAUACUAGGAAUGGUGAACAUAUGGGCUGCUUUAGAGCAAAUAUGGCUGCAUUCCCAGCCCAAGGCACUGCAGAAAAUGGUACAAUAUUUCUACAGUGAGAUUUUUUCCCUACCAAGACAAUGCUGAAUUCUGUCUUUAGGAGCCUCCCACCCCUUUAAGCACACUGCAAACUGAGCACAUCUCUUAUUUGCUUCAGAUUGCACGGUGCCCAGAAACUGUAAUUGCUGUAAGCCAGACUCACGCAGCAGCAGCACUCCCAUGGUGGCAUGGCUUGCUCCCGUGCCCUGGCCUCAAGGAGAGACAGCAGCAACCUUAAUGGGAUCGAGGACAGGGAUGGGGCAGCUACUGGGUGCAAGGAUGCACCAUCAUGUGGGACAACUCCUUCCCUCUCCCUCCUUCUCCUGGCAUUGGGUUGGAGAGCAGGGAUGAGCUGUAAGGCGGAUGGGGUAAACGCAAGGCCACAAAUGCUGUUAGGCAAAAAGAGAUGCCAGCAGGGCUUCCGAUGCUGCCCCCAAACAGGACACCGGAGCAUUUCUCUGCUGCUGAGGUGUUCAGUGGUCCUGCUUUCACUGCCACCAUUUGGAGCUCUAGCUCGGGAAAGACUGUGGCUCUUUGACAGGUUGCAGAGAGGCAACUUGGAAAGAGAUCAGAGCACCAAUCUCGAACCUUUUUAAAAACUGGCCAUUAAAAUCAUGGCGUAAGCCCCUCAUUCCUCAAUCCCUUUGAAAUCCUGCCCCCUUAGGCUGAUGCACACAUGCUGCUCCUCCUGGCUGUGUGUGGAGACUGCUUCCUGGGGCUCUCCCUGCCAGCACAGGUACAAUUUUUGAAAGGUGACAGCUCCUCCCGGCUCACCUGGGAAAGAGGCCCCCAACAAAUGGCUUUGAACAAGAAACCCUUCUAAAGUAAAAUGCAAUACUCCAUAGCACCGGCUGGCCUCUCUGCCUCUAACUCUUUUUAGCUCUCCCCUUCCCUGCCCUAGGCCCGGUGGCAUGGGGCACAAGCACUCAUGCCCACGUGAUGCAGAGGUUGCAUGACUAUGGCUGUGGCUAGAUAGAUUGGGGCUAGUUUUGCUUUGGUCUGCGAUUUGGUUUGUUUUUUUUUUUUUUUCCAUCUUAUCAGUCACAGC